GUGUUUUCCUUUUUCUUAAGCUAACUCCUGAUCCCAUUGAGGGACAUCAAGGGCAGUAGUUUGAAGAAAGCCUCAUCCUUGGCCCUGCUUUUCCGGGAAGCCGACCUUCCCUCUACCCUGGUGGUGCCAUCAUUAGGGCGUGUGGCCGAAGGAGGCAAAUUGUUAGGUGCAAUCAGGAAGCCGUGUCUGCAUCCCAUGGCUGAGGGACAGCCAGGAUGACACUUAGGCUGUCUCUCACUCCAUCCUCUUUGGGGAGUCUGGGAUGCUCUCAGAGAGCGGGGUGAAGCCCAGCAGGAGGACAUGUCUCUCGUAGGCCUUGGUCUGCU
Molecule: long non-coding RNA, 326 nt
Filed under: Homo sapiens (human)
Lineage: Eukaryota; Metazoa; Chordata; Mammalia; Primates; Hominidae
Description: LHRI_LNC1109.1
Source: RNAcentral